This 28-nucleotide non-coding RNA is filed under the name Homo sapiens (human). Lineage: Eukaryota; Metazoa; Chordata; Mammalia; Primates; Hominidae. The record is from RNAcentral.
CUCCUCAGCCGAGAAUGACUUCGUCCGU